Molecule: non-coding RNA, 170 nt
Organism: Triticum urartu
Lineage: Eukaryota; Viridiplantae; Streptophyta; Magnoliopsida; Poales; Poaceae
Source: Rfam
GCCGGGAAGAGGAAGAAUGAGAGGGUCCAAGAGUAGUAUGAAUGGGAACAUUGAGGAAAACAAGAGCUUUCUAGAUUUCCUCUCCUAAGGAAGUAGAGAUCUAGUUGUAUGUUUUUCCAAUGCCUCCCAUUCCUAUUGUUCUUGGGUGCUCCUUCCCCUUCCUUAUUGGC